GGGGUUAUAGCUCAGUGGUAGAGCAUUUGACUGCAAAUCAAGAGGUCCCUGGUUUAAAGUCGAGUUCCCCUU
Molecule: transfer RNA, 72 nt
Filed under: Danio rerio (zebrafish)
Lineage: Eukaryota; Metazoa; Chordata; Actinopteri; Cypriniformes; Danionidae
Rfam family: tRNA
About the family: Transfer RNA (tRNA) molecules are approximately 80 nucleotides in length. Their secondary structure includes four short double-helical elements and three loops (D, anti-codon, and T loops).
Source: Rfam by way of RNAcentral